ACGAACGCUGGCGGCGUGCUUAACACAUGCAAGUCGAGCGGAAAGGCCCUUCGGGGUACUCGAGCGGCGAACGGGUGAGUAACACGUGGGCAACCUGCCCCUAGCUCUGGGAUAACUCCGGGAAACCGGGGCUAAUACCGGAUACGAUCUUCCACGGCAUCUCGGAAGAUGGAAAGUUUUUCGGCUAGGGAUGGGCCCGCGGCCUAUCAGCUUGUUGGUGAGGUAACGGCCCACCAAGGCGACGACGGGUAGCCGGCCUGAGAGGGCGACCGGCCACACUGGGACUGAGACACGGCCCAGACUCCUACGGGAGGCAGCAGUGGGGAAUAUUGCGCAAUGGGCGAAAGCCUGACGCAGCGACGCCGCGUGAGGGAUGAAGGCCUUCGGGUUGUAAACCUCUUUCAGCAGGGACGAAGCGAGAGUGACGGUACCUGCAGAAGAAGCACCGGCCAACUACGU
This 459-nucleotide ribosomal RNA is filed under the name uncultured bacterium. RNAcentral's name for it is "bacterial SSU rRNA". It matches the Rfam family "Bacterial small subunit ribosomal RNA", at positions 29 to 506 of the family's 1533-position model. The record is from RNAcentral.